Molecule: long non-coding RNA, 358 nt
Organism: Mercenaria mercenaria
Lineage: Eukaryota; Metazoa; Mollusca; Bivalvia; Venerida; Veneridae
Exons: 3
Source: RefSeq, a predicted model, not a curated record
AGGGUGAUAAUUUAGGGUUCUGAUACCAUCAAUUGUGUGAGACCUCUCAGUUGUUGUUAUGUGAGACCUCCAUUCCAGUUUUUACCUUUGACAUUGUUGACCUUAUUUGAACUCUAUUUUUAUUGGUUCUCGUGAUCAGCUGUCUCGGGGCAGAGCGCCGUUUUCAGUUUGAUAGAGCAGACAUGUUGGUUAUUCUGUAGAGUUGUUUAAAAAGGAACUUAAAUAAUGGAAUUAUUUAAUAGUUUAAUACAGUAAAGCACUCACGGGAGACAGGCAAAGAUGUGUUGUGUAAGGUAGCUAGUGUGAUCAAGUCCAUAAUUUGGUCACCGUGUUUCAGUCACCGUUUGAUUAGGAAAAU